RNAcentral lists this ribosomal RNA (774 nucleotides) under uncultured Neocallimastigales. RNAcentral's name for it is "partial large subunit ribosomal RNA". It matches the Rfam family "Eukaryotic large subunit ribosomal RNA", at positions 24 to 646 of the family's 3401-position model. The record is from RNAcentral. Lineage: Eukaryota; Fungi; Neocallimastigomycota; Neocallimastigomycetes; Neocallimastigales.
UAUGUGAUCGUCUCUCGCAUAUCAAUAAGCGGAGGAAAAGAAACUAACAAGGAUUCCCCUAGUAACGGCGAGUGAAGCGGGAAGAGCUCAAAUUUGAAAUCUUAAAGGGUUUCCCUUUACGAAUUGUAGUUUAAAGAAGUGUUUUCUGUUGAGGUUUUGGUAAAAGUUCUUUGGAAUAGGACAUCAUAGAGGGUGAGAAUCCCGUAUUUGACCUUUACUUUCAACUUUGUGAUACACUUUCAAAGAGUCGGAUUGUUUGGGAAUGCAGUCCAAAAUGGGUGGUAAAUUUCAUCUAAAGCUGAAUAUUGGCGAGAGACCGAUAGCGAACAAGUACCGUGAGGGAAAGAUGAAAAGAACUUUGAAAAGAGAGUUAAACAGUACGUGAAAUUGUCGAAAGGGGAAGCGUUUGACACCAGUGUUGUUUUCUGAAAAUCAAUUAAAGAACUGUUUAUGCUAAGCUGUUUAGACUUUAUCAGCUAUCUGUUUAGUUUUGAGCUUUUCUUUAAUGCACUUUUCAGUUAACAAGUCAACAUCAAUUUCUUUUGCUGUAAAAAAGCUUGAGGAAGGUGGCUUGAGAUUCGUCUUAAGUGUUUAUAGCCUCUUGCCUAUGCAGUCGGAGAGAUUGAGGUCUGCAGCGUAGAUCCUUCGGGGCUAAAUGCAUUUGUGCUAAGUUAUAGCAUUUUAUAGACAACUUGUUGACUAUGAUUUGUCUUGUAGCUUACUCGCUUAUGUUAUUUUACCUACGCUUAGGAUGUUGAUCUGUAGUGCGUGCGC